Non-coding RNA from Pelobates cultripes (western spadefoot toad), 570 nucleotides. The record is from the annotation of a GenBank genome assembly. NCBI's taxonomy places the organism in Eukaryota, Metazoa, Chordata, Amphibia, Anura, Pelobatidae.
UUGGGUUAAUUGAGAACAUGGUUGUUGUUGUUCAAUAAUAAAAUUAAUCCUCAAAAAUACAACUUGCCUAAUAAUUCUGCACUCCCUGUAUAUAUAUUUAUUUUAAUUGGGGUAACCCAAAAAAUAUUGGGACAUAUAAAAAAAAAAAGGAGACAACUCCGCAGAGUUCCGUAGAGUAGCUGUUGACAUUAUAGUUGUGCAGGCACUUUGUUGACUCUAGAGAACCUCGGGCCAAUCGCACAUCCCCGUGGCGGCGACUUUGCAUGCGGAUGUCAUCCAUAUCAAGUUUCGAUGCCAGUUUCUGCGCCUACAAUGGUGACCACGGGUAACAGGGGAUCAGGGUUCCAUACCGUACAGGGACCCUGAGAAAUGGCUACCACGUGCAAGGAAGGCAGCAGGCGCGCAAAUGACCCACUCCCGACGCAGGAAGGUAGUGACGACAAAUAACAAUACAGGACUCUUUAGAGGCCCUGUAAUUGUAAUGAGUCCACCUGAAAUCCUUUAACUCAAUUGGAGGGAAGUCUGGUGCAGAGCCACGGACCCGUGCGUGCUGCAGCUGAAACUCCACUA